RNAcentral lists this ribosomal RNA (1035 nucleotides) under Chalara sp. OC0027. RNAcentral's name for it is "SSU rRNA". It matches the Rfam family "Eukaryotic small subunit ribosomal RNA", at positions 75 to 1120 of the family's 1831-position model. The record is from RNAcentral. Lineage: Eukaryota; Fungi; Ascomycota; Leotiomycetes; Helotiales.
UAUACCGCGAAACUGCGAAUGGCUCAUUAAAUCAGUUAUCGUUUAUUUGAUAGUACCUUACUACUUGGAUAACCGUGGUAAUUCUAGAGCUAAUACAUGCUAAAAAUCCCGACUCACGGAGGGAUGUAUUUAUUAGAUUAAAAACCAAUGCCCUUCGGGGCUCUCUGGUGAUUCAUAAUAACUUCUCGAAUCGCAUGGCCUUGUGCCGGCGAUGGUUCAUUCAAAUUUCUGCCCUAUCAACUUUCGAUGGCAGGGUCUUGGCCUGCCAUGGUGGCAACGGGUAACGGAGGGUUAGGGCUCGACCCCGGAGAAGGAGCCUGAGAAACGGCUACUACAUCCAAGGAAGGCAGCAGGCGCGCAAAUUACCCAAUCCCGAUACGGGGAGGUAGUGACAAUAAAUACUGAUACAGGGCUCUUUUGGGUCUUGUAAUUGGAAUGAGUACAAUUUAAAUCUCUUAACGAGGAACAAUUGGAGGGCAAGUCUGGUGCCAGCAGCCGCGGUAAUUCCAGCUCCAAUAGCGUAUAUUAAAGUUGUUGCAGUUAAAAAGCUCGUAGUUGAACCUUGGGCCUGGCUGGCCGGUCCGCCUCACCGCGUGCACUGGUUCGGCCGGGCCUUUCCCUCUGGGGAACCUCAUGCCCUUCACUGGGUGUGCUGGGGAACCAGGACUUUUACUGUGAAAAAAUUAGAGUGUUCAAAGCAGGCCUAUGCUCGAAUACAUUAGCAUGGAAUAAUAGAAUAGGACGUGCGGUUCUAUUUUGUUGGUUUCUAGGACCGCCGUAAUGAUUAAUAGGGACAGUCGGGGGCAUCAGUAUUCAAUUGUCAGAGGUGAAAUUCUUGGAUUUAUUGAAGACUAACUACUGCGAAAGCAUUUGCCAAGGAUGUUUUCAUUAAUCAGGAACGAAAGUUAGGGGAUCGAAGACGAUCAGAUACCGUCGUAGUCUUAACCAUAAACUAUGCCGACUAGGGAUCGGACGAUGUUAUUAUUUGACUCGUUCGGCACCUUACGAGAAAUCAAAGUGUUUGGGUUCUGGGGG